Molecule: non-coding RNA, 46 nt
Filed under: Trichobilharzia regenti
Lineage: Eukaryota; Metazoa; Platyhelminthes; Trematoda; Strigeidida; Schistosomatidae
Source: RNAcentral
AUUCACCUGACGAGUCCCAAAACAAGACGAAGUGUGCGUUGCGGAU